Molecule: transfer RNA, 74 nt
Filed under: Patescibacteria group bacterium
Lineage: Bacteria
Description: tRNA-Arg
Rfam family: tRNA
About the family: Transfer RNA (tRNA) molecules are approximately 80 nucleotides in length. Their secondary structure includes four short double-helical elements and three loops (D, anti-codon, and T loops).
Source: RNAcentral
GUCCCCGUAGCUCAAUUGGAUAGAGCGUCUCCCUCCGGAGGAGAAGAUUGCGCGUUCGAGUCGCGCUGGGGGCA